CUACGGGCCGCUCCAGUGGGGAAUAUUGGACAAUGGGCGCAAGCCUGAUCCAGCAAUGCCGCGUGAGUGAAGACGGCCUUAGGGUUGUAAAACUCUUUCGCUAGGGAAGAUAAUGACUGUACCUAGUAAAGAAGUCCCGGCUAACUCCGUGCCAGCAGCCGCGGUGAAUACGGAGGGGACUAGCGUUGUUCGGAAUUACUGGGCGUAAAGAGUUCGUAGGCGGACUGACAAGUUAGAGGUGAAAUCCCAGGGCUCAACCCUGGAACUGCCUUUAAAACUGUCAGUCUAGAGACCGGAAGAGGUUAGGGGAAUACCUAGUGUAGAGGUGAAAUUCGUAGAUAUUAGGUGGAGCACCAGUGGCGAAGGCGCCUAACUGGUCCGGUACUGACGCUGAGGAACGAAAGCGUGGGGAGCAAACAGGAUUAGAUACCCCCGUAGUC
This 440-nucleotide ribosomal RNA is filed under the name uncultured bacterium. RNAcentral describes it as "partial 16S ribosomal RNA". It matches the Rfam family "Bacterial small subunit ribosomal RNA", at positions 339 to 795 of the family's 1533-position model. The record is from RNAcentral.